AAAAAGCAAAAAGUUGCAAUAU
Molecule: microRNA, 22 nt
Filed under: Branchiostoma belcheri (Belcher's lancelet)
Lineage: Eukaryota; Metazoa; Chordata; Leptocardii; Amphioxiformes; Branchiostomatidae
Description: bbe-miR-2063-3p
Source: miRBase by way of RNAcentral